This is a long non-coding RNA of Acanthopagrus latus (yellowfin seabream), 3245 nucleotides long. RefSeq lists it as uncharacterized. The transcript has 6 exons. The record is from RefSeq and is a predicted model, not a curated record. Lineage: Eukaryota; Metazoa; Chordata; Actinopteri; Spariformes; Sparidae.
CGUGCUCAUUCUCAUUUUCUCUGUCCUCGGAGCCAGUGAGAGGCAGAGAGGGGCAGGGUGGGAUGGAGAGGUGUGCUCGGAUGCUUGCUGCAGGAGGAUGUUGCGCACUUCGUUUUUGUACCUCAGGAGUGAGUGGUCCGCGCAUCCAUGGGGCUCCUGCGUGAUGACUUGAUUUAUGAGGUAGAUGUAUUGUUAUUGCCUUGAUAGAUUUGUGUGUGUGUGUGUGUGUUAGUAGUCGUGUAGGCUUGAAUGUAAUUGAUCUAGCUUUGAUAUUCUCCAGAUUUAAAAUGAAAAGUAGCAGGAGGUCAGAUUUGAUUAAAAGUUACAGAGGAGGGGAGAAUACUUCAAACUAGCACUUUAAGGGAAAAAAGCAAAUUAGUUGAUGAGGACAACUUUAUAUUUUUGUUACUUUUUAAACAGAUUUAAAGCCUGUUACAGGCCUCUGACUUUGUAUUUUGUUGCCGUCGCACCUGUCAGAGGGUGUCAUGCUGUGUACCAUCUCCAUUUAGACAUACUGUAUUUAAAUCGUACCAUGUGAAAAGAAAUGUAAAAUCAGCCUCAACUUCAUUCAGUAGCCUUUUUCUGCAUAUAGGCCUAAAAUUAAAAUUAUGUAAGAUUGUUUUUCCCCAUCAUCCAUUCACUCCCAUGAGUUUAUCCUUCCAAUUACCUCUUAUUGAUUCUGUAAAGGCUAUUUUUUGUUGUUGUCUUUGAACCUAUAGUGUGUUGGCCCGCUGUGCCAGUGCCUUGACUCAGCUCCAUCCAUCCAGAGGUUUCUAUGUCAUACGCACUUUUUAUUCCUGAUGUAAACAAACCUCCAGGAGCAAUACUCCAAUUUCGACACCAGAUGGCGUAUUUCUGCAAAGAAUGGCUCGCCGCAUCCAUCUGUCGUGGUCGGGUAAAAAUGGACUGACAUCUCUUGACGUCAAAACUCCACUGGCUGCAGUCGCCUGGCCGAUUGCUUUUGCCGACUGCUUCAGAGGCACAAGGAAAUCCAGGUAUUACUUUCAACUUCUCUGAGAGGUAAGAGGCGACACUCUUCACCGUGAACACAGGCAGCAACAUCCCGGACAAACGCUUGCAGCAAUUCAAUGUUUAUAUCAAUUACUUCCAAAAGAAUCUGCACUGAAUAACAGAUGCCUGGCUGCACAUUUGCAUUAUUUAAUGGCCGGUAGUCAGCAGUCAUAUGCGUAUGUAAGGGUUUCAGCAUUAUGAGACCUUCCAGAGACGAGAACCAUCUCAGAAAAUAUAACAGUUUCAGUUACAGUGAGCCUUAAAGAAUAAAUAAAGGUGUUUCUGAAGCGAAAAACCAAAGGCUUUAUUAUAUUCAAACAAACGUAAUAUAUUAAUAAGCAAAUGUACAUGUAUGGUGACCAGUAUACCGCUGCAACUCUAUUAUUCACAAGUUUAUAACUGCUUAAUAUCAGAGUGUUAUAUCUGUUCAAAGGACUCACUCCUCUGGCUUGUCCAACACUGCGAUGCCAGAAACUGCUGAGCUGAGUGGAAACAUUUCAGUUCACUUUUCUCAAUGUUUGACAUGUCUCAAAAUAAUGCCUGGGAUUUUCUCAGGACCUGCCGAGGAUAAAGCUGUCCGAGACCUCCUUUUCAUCACGGCGUGCGUGGUGCUGGAACACAUGCUGACAUCAGAGAGAGAGAGCCUGUUUGCAUUCUUGCGAGCCGUAGCUGCGACACAGCAGCUCCGUUGUCUGAUUUACAUGACAAAUGAAGAAUCUUCUGAUCAAGUGGCCGGAGAGCAGCGAGCUGUCGUCCUCUCUAUUCUACCGAGCAGCAGCGAGGAGAGGAAUCAUCGUGGGUACAUCUGCAAAAAGGCUGCAGGGCAGCGAAUCAGAGUUCUUCCUGGGUGCGAGCAUGAGCCUAAACCAUCCCAGAGUGCAUCGUUCUGCCGGUCUCCGAGAUGCCGUCACGCUUCCCUGGAACAACGUCUCGAUCCAGUCAAAAAACAGUGUAGAGACGGAGAAAAGUCCUAAAAGUAAUUACUGUGCCUAUUACUAAUUCAUUGACAUGCAUCAGCGUAAUGGAGACCAAUGAGGCAUUGUUUAAAAAAUUAAUUGUUCCAUUUGCAAAUGGCAGAGCCUCCAGAUGAAGACUUAAUACCAUAAUGCCUCUAACAGCAGUUAAGUCUUCGAUGUCCUUCUUUAAAUAUGUAAUAUGAUACUUUCUCGGAAACCAGACCUUUUGAUAUUUUAUAUAUUUGUGUAUUUACAUUAUGCCCAAUGUUUCAAACAGCGCUUGAAUCUAAAGAACGCCAUAAUUUAAUUCAAGGUGAUGUUCCUGUUCGUUUGGUCGCCUGUUGCUGUAACUUCCAGGGAAACAUCAGGUGAUGCAUCACAGAGAGAGAGAGAGAAAGGAAGUCAGUGUGAAGAAUAUUUAAGAACAUUAACCUCGUCCAUGAACGUUUCACGCCAGAGACCCAUCAGAUGGAUUUUCACCAGCAAUGGUGGUUGUUCAGAAAAUGAAGACAGCAACUCCCAUGAUGCCACAUUACUUCCUGACAUCAUCAAAUCAGUUUUAUUUGAAUAGUUUUGAUUGAGAGACCCCUAGUGGCAGAAGUUGCGUACUGAAGGUUUAAGUCAGCUUUCCAAACUGCAAAAAUAAAGUCUAACAGUCUGAUGUGAGUAAAUGGCAUUAAAUAAAAUAGAAAAAUAGAGAUGUCUAACUGUUAAAGGGGAAGUCCACCAUUGUUACACAGUAAAUUGUGUUCGGGGAGUACUACUGCAUAUGUGGGAAAAAUAGGUAAUUAAAUGCUUUUGCUUUUUGUAUGUAAUCUGAUAAAAUCUCCUCCAGUGAUGUCACUAAUGUAGGCGCCAAUUUAUGAAAGUGAGGAAAUUUUCUGGUGAUCAAUUUUUUAAGUCUGAUCAAAGUUUCAGCAAGAGAAAGUUUUAGAAAAGAUCAUCAUCAUUGACCACAAGCUCGGACACUCAAAAUAAGCCUCACAAAAACAAAUUCUCCUGAUGAAACUUUCUGUCAAUCCAUUUCACACAAAAAUCUCAAGAAAUUAGGGGGAAAAAAAAAAAGAAAAGAAAAAAAAAGAAAUUACUGUAGAAAAAUACAUUUUCCGAAAAUGAAAGAUUAUCCUAGGACUAUUGUUUUUUUCACUCCAUUUCAGACAUGAGAAACAAUUUUUCUUCUCGUUGACACAUGAAAGAAAUUGACACAUGAAAUUUUUUAUUAUUUUUUCUGAAAUGAAAAAGCACUUUUUUGACUUGAUUUCACGUCGAUAAAAACAA